CCCUUAGAUGUUCUGGGCCGCACGCGCGCUACACUGAUGCAUUCAACGAGUUUCUUCCUGGUCCGAGAGGAAUGGGUAACCUUUUGAAAGUGCAUCGUGAUAGGGAUAGACUAUUGCAAUUAUUGGUCUUCAACGAGGAAUUCCUAGUAGACGUAGUUCAUCAGACUGCAUCGAUUACGUCCCUGCCCUUUGUACACACCGCCCGUCGCUCCUACCGAUUGAAUGCUCAGGUGAGCCAUUCGGACUUUCGUCAUGCUGGUUUCCAGUUUUGAUGAAGGAAAGUCUUGCGAACCUUAUCAUUUAGAGGAAGGAGAAGUCGUAACA
This 324-nucleotide ribosomal RNA is filed under the name uncultured eukaryote. RNAcentral describes it as "partial 18S ribosomal RNA". It matches the Rfam family "Eukaryotic small subunit ribosomal RNA", at positions 1470 to 1796 of the family's 1831-position model. The record is from RNAcentral.